RNAcentral lists this ribosomal RNA (2904 nucleotides) under Escherichia coli. RNAcentral's name for it is "23S ribosomal RNA". It matches the Rfam family "Bacterial large subunit ribosomal RNA". Lineage: Bacteria; Pseudomonadati; Pseudomonadota; Gammaproteobacteria; Enterobacterales; Enterobacteriaceae. The record is from RNAcentral.
GGUUAAGCGACUAAGCGUACACGGUGGAUGCCCUGGCAGUCAGAGGCGAUGAAGGACGUGCUAAUCUGCGAUAAGCGUCGGUAAGGUGAUAUGAACCGUUAUAACCGGCGAUUUCCGAAUGGGGAAACCCAGUGUGUUUCGACACACUAUCAUUAACUGAAUCCAUAGGUUAAUGAGGCGAACCGGGGGAACUGAAACAUCUAAGUACCCCGAGGAAAAGAAAUCAACCGAGAUUCCCCCAGUAGCGGCGAGCGAACGGGGAGCAGCCCAGAGCCUGAAUCAGUGUGUGUGUUAGUGGAAGCGUCUGGAAAGGCGCGCGAUACAGGGUGACAGCCCCGUACACAAAAAUGCACAUGCUGUGAGCUCGAUGAGUAGGGCGGGACACGUGGUAUCCUGUCUGAAUAUGGGGGGACCAUCCUCCAAGGCUAAAUACUCCUGACUGACCGAUAGUGAACCAGUACCGUGAGGGAAAGGCGAAAAGAACCCCGGCGAGGGGAGUGAAAAAGAACCUGAAACCGUGUACGUACAAGCAGUGGGAGCACGCUUAGGCGUGUGACUGCGUACCUUUUGUAUAAUGGGUCAGCGACUUAUAUUCUGUAGCAAGGUUAACCGAAUAGGGGAGCCGAAGGGAAACCGAGUCUUAACUGGGCGUUAAGUUGCAGGGUAUAGACCCGAAACCCGGUGAUCUAGCCAUGGGCAGGUUGAAGGUUGGGUAACACUAACUGGAGGACCGAACCGACUAAUGUUGAAAAAUUAGCGGAUGACUUGUGGCUGGGGGUGAAAGGCCAAUCAAACCGGGAGAUAGCUGGUUCUCCCCGAAAGCUAUUUAGGUAGCGCCUCGUGAACUCAUCUCCGGGGGUAGAGCACUGUUUCGGCAAGGGGGUCAUCCCGACUUACCAACCCGAUGCAAACUGCGAAUACCGGAGAAUGUUAUCACGGGAGACACACGGCGGGUGCUAACGUCCGUCGUGAAGAGGGAAACAACCCAGACCGCCAGCUAAGGUCCCAAAGUCAUGGUUAAGUGGGAAACGAUGUGGGAAGGCCCAGACAGCCAGGAUGUUGGCUUAGAAGCAGCCAUCAUUUAAAGAAAGCGUAAUAGCUCACUGGUCGAGUCGGCCUGCGCGGAAGAUGUAACGGGGCUAAACCAUGCACCGAAGCUGCGGCAGCGACGCUUAUGCGUUGUUGGGUAGGGGAGCGUUCUGUAAGCCUGCGAAGGUGUGCUGUGAGGCAUGCUGGAGGUAUCAGAAGUGCGAAUGCUGACAUAAGUAACGAUAAAGCGGGUGAAAAGCCCGCUCGCCGGAAGACCAAGGGUUCCUGUCCAACGUUAAUCGGGGCAGGGUGAGUCGACCCCUAAGGCGAGGCCGAAAGGCGUAGUCGAUGGGAAACAGGUUAAUAUUCCUGUACUUGGUGUUACUGCGAAGGGGGGACGGAGAAGGCUAUGUUGGCCGGGCGACGGUUGUCCCGGUUUAAGCGUGUAGGCUGGUUUUCCAGGCAAAUCCGGAAAAUCAAGGCUGAGGCGUGAUGACGAGGCACUACGGUGCUGAAGCAACAAAUGCCCUGCUUCCAGGAAAAGCCUCUAAGCAUCAGGUAACAUCAAAUCGUACCCCAAACCGACACAGGUGGUCAGGUAGAGAAUACCAAGGCGCUUGAGAGAACUCGGGUGAAGGAACUAGGCAAAAUGGUGCCGUAACUUCGGGAGAAGGCACGCUGAUAUGUAGGUGAAGUCCCUCGCGGAUGGAGCUGAAAUCAGUCGAAGAUACCAGCUGGCUGCAACUGUUUAUUAAAAACACAGCACUGUGCAAACACGAAAGUGGACGUAUACGGUGUGACGCCUGCCCGGUGCCGGAAGGUUAAUUGAUGGGGUCAGCGCAAGCGAAGCUCUUGAUCGAAGCCCCGGUAAACGGCGGCCGUAACUAUAACGGUCCUAAGGUAGCGAAAUUCCUUGUCGGGUAAGUUCCGACCUGCACGAAUGGCGUAAUGAUGGCCAGGCUGUCUCCACCCGAGACUCAGUGAAAUUGAACUCGCUGUGAAGAUGCAGUGUACCCGCGGCAAGACGGAAAGACCCCGUGAACCUUUACUAUAGCUUGACACUGAACAUUGAGCCUUGAUGUGUAGGAUAGGUGGGAGGCUUUGAAGUGUGGACGCCAGUCUGCAUGGAGCCGACCUUGAAAUACCACCCUUUAAUGUUUGAUGUUCUAACGUUGACCCGUAAUCCGGGUUGCGGACAGUGUCUGGUGGGUAGUUUGACUGGGGCGGUCUCCUCCUAAAGAGUAACGGAGGAGCACGAAGGUUGGCUAAUCCUGGUCGGACAUCAGGAGGUUAGUGCAAUGGCAUAAGCCAGCUUGACUGCGAGCGUGACGGCGCGAGCAGGUGCGAAAGCAGGUCAUAGUGAUCCGGUGGUUCUGAAUGGAAGGGCCAUCGCUCAACGGAUAAAAGGUACUCCGGGGAUAACAGGCUGAUACCGCCCAAGAGUUCAUAUCGACGGCGGUGUUUGGCACCUCGAUGUCGGCUCAUCACAUCCUGGGGCUGAAGUAGGUCCCAAGGGUAUGGCUGUUCGCCAUUUAAAGUGGUACGCGAGCUGGGUUUAGAACGUCGUGAGACAGUUCGGUCCCUAUCUGCCGUGGGCGCUGGAGAACUGAGGGGGGCUGCUCCUAGUACGAGAGGACCGGAGUGGACGCAUCACUGGUGUUCGGGUUGUCAUGCCAAUGGCACUGCCCGGUAGCUAAAUGCGGAAGAGAUAAGUGCUGAAAGCAUCUAAGCACGAAACUUGCCCCGAGAUGAGUUCUCCCUGACUCCUUGAGAGUCCUGAAGGAACGUUGAAGACGACGACGUUGAUAGGCCGGGUGUGUAAGCGCAGCGAUGCGUUGAGCUAACCGGUACUAAUGAACCGUGAGGCUUAACCUU